This 506-nucleotide ribosomal RNA is filed under the name uncultured bacterium. Its description in RNAcentral is "partial 16S ribosomal RNA". It matches the Rfam family "Bacterial small subunit ribosomal RNA", at positions 29 to 523 of the family's 1533-position model. The record is from RNAcentral.
AGUGAACGCUGGCGGUAGGCCUAACACAUGCAAGUCGAACGGCAGCACAGGAGAGCUUGCUCUCUGGGUGGCGAGUGGCGGACGGGUGAGGAAUACAUCGGAAUCUACUUUUUCGUGGGGGAUAACGUAGGGAAACUUACGCUAAUACCGCAUACGACCUACGGGUGAAAGCAGGGGACCUUCGGGCCUUGCGCGAUUGAAUGAGCCGAUGUCGGAUUAGCUAGUUGGCGGGGUAAAGGCCCACCAAGGCGACGAUCCGUAGCUGGUCUGAGAGGCUGAUCAGGCACACUGGAACUGUGACACGGUCCAGACUCCUACGGGAGGCAGCAGUGGGGAAUAUUGGACAAUGGGCGCAAGCCUGAUCCAGCCAUACCGCGUGGGUGAAGAAGGCCUUCGGGUUGUAAAGCCCUUUUGUUGGGAAAGAAAUCCAGCUGGCUAAUACCCGGUUGGGAUGACGGUACCCAAAGAAUAAGCACCGGCUAACUUCGUGCCAGCAGCCGCCGUAA